UGAGGAAUAUUGGUCAAUGGGCGAGAGCCUGAACCAGCCAAGUAGCGUGCAGGAUGACGGCCCUAUGGGUUGUAAACUGCUUUUAUAAGGGAAUAAAGUGAGUCUCGUGAGACUUUUUGCAUGUACCUUAUGAAUAAGGACCGGCUAAUUCCGUGCCAGCAGCCGCGGUAAUACGGAAGGUCCGGGCGUUAUCCGGAUUUAUUGGGUUUAAAGGGAGCGUAGGCCGGAGAUUAAGCGUGUUGUGAAAUGUAGACGCUCAACGUCUGCACUGCAGCGCGAACUGGUUUCCUUGAGUACGCACAAAGUGGGCGGAAUUCGUGGUGUAGCGGUGAAAUGCUCAGAUAUCACGAAGAACUCCGAUUGCGAAGGCAGCUCACUGGAGCGCAACUGACGCUGAAGCUCGAAAGUGCGGGUAUCGAACAGG
RNAcentral lists this ribosomal RNA (424 nucleotides) under Prevotella sp. Its description in RNAcentral is "bacterial SSU rRNA". It matches the Rfam family "Bacterial small subunit ribosomal RNA", at positions 355 to 776 of the family's 1533-position model. The record is from RNAcentral. Lineage: Bacteria; Pseudomonadati; Bacteroidota; Bacteroidia; Bacteroidales; Prevotellaceae.